RNAcentral lists this unclassified non-coding RNA (271 nucleotides) under Basidiomycota sp. RNAcentral describes it as "partial contains small subunit ribosomal RNA, internal transcribed spacer 1, and 5.8S ribosomal RNA". The stretch from base 1 to 47 matches the Rfam family "Eukaryotic small subunit ribosomal RNA", at positions 1785 to 1831 of the family's 1831-position model. Lineage: Eukaryota; Fungi; Basidiomycota. The record is from RNAcentral.
AAAGUCGUAACAAGGUUUCCGUAGGUGAACCUGCGGAAGGAUCAUUAACAAAUUCAAAACUCGUGUUGUGUUGUAUCUUUUUCGUGGAUGAUGUGACGGUCUCUUGAUGGUGGUGGUAAAACACCUCAUCGAGUGGGCAAUAAAGUUACAUUCGGAAAUAAAAAGGAUAUACCACGAUUAAACAAACACAUACACUUACAUUAAAUAUUGACAACAAAGGGAAACCACGAUUAAUCGUAAACAACUUUUAACAAUGGAUCUCUUGGCUCUU